CGUAGGGUGCAAGCGUUAAUCGGAAUUACUGGGCGUAAGCGUGCGCAGGCGGUGUGGCAAGACAGGUGUGAAUACCCCGGGCUAACCUGGGAACUGCACUUGUGACUGCACAGCUGGAGUGCGGCAGAGGGGGGAUGGAAUUCCGCGUGUAGCAGUGAAAUGCGUAGAUAUGCGGAGGAACACCGAUGGCGAAGGCAAUCCCCUGGGCCUGCACUGACGCUCAUGCACGAAAGCGUGGGGGAGCAAACAGGAUUAGAUACCCUGGUAGUCCACGCCCUAAACGAUGUCAACUGGUUGUUGGACGGCUUGCUGUUCAGUAACGUAGCUAACGCGUGAAGUUGACCGCCUGGGGAGUACGGCCGCAAGGUUG
RNAcentral lists this ribosomal RNA (370 nucleotides) under uncultured organism. RNAcentral's name for it is "bacterial SSU rRNA". It matches the Rfam family "Bacterial small subunit ribosomal RNA", at positions 526 to 896 of the family's 1533-position model. The record is from RNAcentral.